UGGGGAAUUUUCCGCAGUGGGCGAAAGCCUGACGGAGCAAUGCCGCGUGGAGGUGGAAGGCCUACGGGUCGUCAACUUCUUUUCUCGGAGAAGAAACAAUGACGGUAUCUGAGGAAUAAGCAUCGGCUAACUCUGUGCCA
This 140-nucleotide ribosomal RNA is filed under the name uncultured bacterium. RNAcentral's name for it is "partial 16S rRNA". It matches the Rfam family "Bacterial small subunit ribosomal RNA", at positions 355 to 510 of the family's 1533-position model. The record is from RNAcentral.